Anas platyrhynchos (mallard) is the source of this 3319-nucleotide non-coding RNA. The record is from RefSeq and is a predicted model, not a curated record. Lineage: Eukaryota; Metazoa; Chordata; Aves; Anseriformes; Anatidae.
AUGCUGUGUUCCCCAGCACUGGUGGCAGGUUAAAUACAUCUCUAAUCAUGGUAAACUGUGAGAAAUGUUAACUUCUAAAAAGAGUCAAUUUCAUUAUUGCCUGAUGCUUUACUCUGAACUGGUGCACCUGCAGUGCUGGGAAACAGUACCCAAAACUGAUACAAAUGGCCUGGCUGAACUGGAGUAGCAGGCUUAAAAACUCCACCCAGCUAGCAUCACCUGUGUUUCAUUAGGAUUCGUUUUGGAGAGGCCUGGAGCCAGCCUCUAAAACCAGCAGCUUUAGCUUCAGAAGAGUUUGGUGCCCAGCUAUGGGAGAGGCUGGAAGCUGAGUUUUGGUGAAUUUUCUUCUGUUGAUUAAUUUGCUCCACGGGCAGUCCUGCCAGGCUGCGGUGCAGGAUCCGGCCUUGGCGAGGGGCUCGUUGCCGGCUUCAGCUGCUCUCUCUAAUUGGGAUCACACUGAUGGGUUGCAGAAAUGAUGCUCCCAAUAGGCCGGAACGAGCUUUCCUAAGAAAAGCUGGAAUCACGUCUCUCAGCAUGGUAGUCUGGCUGAUGUGAAAUAAAAGCCUAAUUUGGGAAACCCGAGCUCUCAGCUCGACGAUGUCUCCGACAGCGAGCGCUGCACUUACUCUUUUAUGAAAGCCUUGGCUGGGAAAAGCAUCUGGGAUCCAACUUCCCCCAAGUGUGUGUGAUCGCCGCUGGAUCGCCAGCACUUUGCCAGUUGCAAAAUCCAGGCCACACCAUGCGAGAGCCUGAACAAUCUGAUCUCAUUUGGAGACAAGGCGGUUUGGGGAGGAAUGCGCUGCCACUUGGUUUUAUGCAGAGGCAAGGGGCUGCCUUCUUCCAGCAGCUUCCACAAACACUAGGACAGAGACGAAAAGAUCUGGAGCUAUUUAAUUUGCUGUUCCAUCCAAGAUGGGGAAGAAAAAACCCUAAGUGUUCUUCUGUGAGGGGAAGCACAGUGCAGGUGUUUCACUGACAAGAUCUGCUCAGCAUCACCUUGCCUCCUCCGCAUCCUCCUCUCUGGACCACAGGGAGCUCAGAGUGACAACGGGCUGGAUGGUGACGCGCAGGGGAAAGCCAACCACGCUCAUCUUUCUUGGCCAAGAAGCCCACUAAGGUCAUCAGAUGAAACUCGAACCCUGUGGAAAGCAAACGUCCCUUGGAGUCUGAGACAGUACAAUUAUGCAAAGACAAGUCAUGGAAAAAAAGGAUUGAGGUUCCUCACACGAAAAGAGCAGAGUUGUCAUGCCGAGGGACUGACGCAUGCCACAUCUGAGGCAGGAUGCCCUCACGUUGCUGGUUUCUACGAUUUUCUGCUGGGAUCCUGCUUGUUGGCUCCCAUCUACCUUGAGCUUCCCCUGCUGUUGCCUGUCUUGUCGAGCACAAAGCAGUUCCAUCGGGUGCCCUUCAGCAAGAGGUGGAUCCUCCUCUGAGGGAUUUUAGCAUCUUCAAUCAGCAGAAGCUUGGAGGAGAAGAGGCACAGGGAGGCAGUGCCGUGUCAGCCAGCAGGUCAGCGAUGCAGCCGGGCACGCCGCUCAGGUCUCAUCUCCCCUCCCGUGCUGUCUUCACAGGGCAGCAGGGCCACCGAUAAAACCAAUUUGGGAAAUUAAGCUGUUAAAUAUAAAUGUGAUUUGGCUUUAACGGCAGUGGAAAGCUGGGGAACGGGUCAGGUCUGAGAGGACUGUGUGCAGCUCCGUUUGGAAAUAAAUUGUUUCUCUGUAACGGAAAUGAUGGGAGAUUGCAAAUAGCGAAAAAAAACAAACCCACAAACAUUAAACCCACCAAAAAUAUUACAGCAAAACCCUGUACGAGCACACACUGAGCCUGCUGGUUUGCCUUUUCAUGCAGGCUGUGCUUUAUGCAAAUAAAACUUUAAAAAAAAAAAAAAAAGGCAGCAAAUCACCUCGGAGAGAAUGAGCAACUAAUGCACAUUGAAUAUAAAAAUCCACAUGAGUUUUUUUUUCAGUUUCAGAAGUUAGCAAAGGUCAUUGAAUCCUUUUAAAAUUAAUUCCCUUUUUAAAAACCCCAAUUCUCCUGGAUGCCAUCGAAGUGAUUCUUCCCAAUGACCGCAGAUACAAUCUGGGAGCCAAAUGCCGUACUCUGCAUCUGUCCGAGCUGCAAAUCACUGGCUGAGGAGCUUGUUCUUGCUCCCUCCCCGCACUUAUUGCUUGUGUUUCGUGGGGCUGGCUCCUUCCCCGUUAUCUUUGGUAAGAACGGCUCUGAGCGAAUAGCACGGAUCCCGUCCCCAGCUUAAUUGCUGAGCAAAACGUAUCUUUCUUAAAUAUGGGGUGGAAAACAGAUUUUUGUUCCCCUUCCAAAUCAAUGCCUGUAAAUGCACCUUCUCCUCCCCCCGCCGCUGUCUUUGGACCAAGUGGUUUGUUUGGCUGCAGGUUCCUCUGUUCUGCAGGAUGAGCCCUUUCUGCAGAAAGCAAAGCCAUGGCCUCUCGCUGCUGGAUGGCAAUGCCCCCUGCACACAUCUCUGUCCCCUUGCUGGGCAGACUGCCCCACAGUUCUUCUUGUCACCCGGACAGGGGGUGGAAGCAAGGGCAGGGUAUAUCUGAGGGUUAAAAAGUACAUCUCCCCCCCCAAAUCAGGUGGUUUCUUUUUCUGCUGACUUUUGUUCCCUUUGAGUGCGCUGAUUUUCAAGCUUUUCUGCAUAGCCCAGAGGGCUGAUUGCAUUUGGGAUUCUUGUGUGAUCAGGUGAGUCCAGGAGCUGGUGUUUUAAGGAAGACAACAAAUAUUGUGAGAGUCAUGAGAGCAGGGGCAGGCGUUGGUUUAGAUCUCUUCCCAGCGAAAUCGAUACAAAUUUCCAUAUGAAAAGAGAGAAGCCACUGCUGAGAGCUUUGUGGGGUGUACGAGAUACUGGAUUAUGCAUCUUGUUUCAUUGAGCAUUGUCACUUAUAGGGUAAGUAAAUUCUGGUCCUGUUCUAGUCUUGAUAAAGCUAAAUUUCUUCAUUUAUGUCUUUCACUCGGUGAUAAGAAAGGAUUCCUGUGGAGCAAAAUCAACGGCCAAAAGAACGGAAAGGUCUGUGCAUCAAAAAAAGCCACCAUCCACUCUAAAAGAGGGUGAAGCCGCUAUCACCAUCUGCAGGUGUGCUCCGAAGGAGAGCCACCUCUCUGUUAAAAACACUGCAUCUCUUAUUUUUAUUCCAGAAAUGGCCAGCUUCGGCUACCUCAGCCUCAACUUGGAGCAUUUUACAAAGUGCUUGGCCUGUUUAUAAGUCCCUCAAGUUCAGUCCACAAAGAUGAAAAGACCUAAACGUGCCAGUCACUUUGAAAUAUUAGGCCAAUUUAUACAGUCAGGAACUUAACAGUAAAA